CCUACGGGAGGCAGCAGUGGGGAAUAUUGCACAAUGGGGGCAACCCUGAUGCAGCGACGCCGCGUGCAUGAAGAAGGAUUUCGGUGUGUAAAGCUCUGUCAGCCGGGGAGAAAAUGACGGUACCUGACCCAGAAGCCCCGGCUAACUACGUGCCAGCAGCCGCGGUAAUACGUAGGGGGCAAGCGUUAUCCGGAUGUACUGGGUGUAAAGGGAGCGUAGACGGCAGGGCAAGUCAGGAGUGAACGGCCGGGGCUCAACCCCCGGACUGCUCUGGAAACUGCAAGGCUGGAGUGCAGGAGGGGAAGGCGGAAUUCCUAGUGUAGCGGUGAAAUGCGUAGAUAUUAGGAGGAACACCGGUGGCGAAGGCGGCUUUCUGGACUGUAACUGACGUUGAGGCUCGAAAGUGUGGGGAGCAAACAGGAUUAGAUACCCGAGUAGUC
Molecule: ribosomal RNA, 440 nt
Filed under: uncultured bacterium
Lineage: Bacteria
Description: partial 16S ribosomal RNA
Rfam family: Bacterial small subunit ribosomal RNA
Source: RNAcentral